Hemiscyllium ocellatum (epaulette shark) is the source of this 521-nucleotide long non-coding RNA. RefSeq lists it as uncharacterized. The transcript is spliced from 3 exons. NCBI's taxonomy places the organism in Eukaryota, Metazoa, Chordata, Chondrichthyes, Orectolobiformes, Hemiscylliidae. The record is from RefSeq and is a predicted model, not a curated record.
AGAUACUGCCCAACCUGCUGAAUAUUUCUGUUUUCAGGCAUAGAGAAAUUUCCCAGUGGGAAAAUUCAAUUUCCUGGAAAAUGUCUUUGGAGUGUGCUAUGAUGGGAUUCCACAGGUGCCCAUGUGCAAUUCCCAUCUCUACCGGAAUAACUACAACAGUCCAGCAUUGGAAAACCUUCCCAAAGGCUCAUUUGAGAAGAUGGUGACCAAGAAUUCACUCAAUCUGCGUGCUGUUUGCCAAGUUAUGACAUCUGUACGUGUACCGGAAGAUAGAAGUAUUGCUUCCACUGCAUUCCAACUGAUUGAAGGCAAUAGUCUACAGGAUCAGGAGAUUUCAUGUUUCCUUAGAACAGGCCCAUCAGAAAAACACAUACACCAAAUAUUGAGGCACUGUGUUUGGAGAAAUGAAUUUGUAAUUACACUGUAUACUUGGGGCUUGUCAUAGUCAUGUGAUCUCUGCUGUAACUUCCUUUAACUUUGGAAGGAGUUGCGUUUAAACAUAUUAAAUGACUUCAAAGACA